UAUCGCUGCCCUCCUUGGGCGUUUCCUCCCUAGACUCGGGUCGCUUGUUCGACGGGCGGCCCUUUUUCUUUGCGGG
Molecule: small RNA, 76 nt
Filed under: Nitrobacter winogradskyi Nb-255
Lineage: Bacteria; Pseudomonadati; Pseudomonadota; Alphaproteobacteria; Hyphomicrobiales; Nitrobacteraceae
Description: Makes More Granules Regulator RNA (mmgR)
Rfam family: Makes More Granules Regulator RNA (mmgR)
About the family: SuhB later renamed mmgR (makes more granules regulator) was a putative non-coding RNA found multiple times in the Agrobacterium tumefaciens genome and related alpha-proteobacteria. Other non-coding RNAs uncovered in the same analysis include: speF, ybhL, metA, and serC.
Source: Rfam by way of RNAcentral